Molecule: long non-coding RNA, 493 nt
Filed under: Homo sapiens (human)
Lineage: Eukaryota; Metazoa; Chordata; Mammalia; Primates; Hominidae
Description: HSALNT0357980
Source: RNAcentral
UGGCUUUCAGAUAGUCACCUUCUUACUGUGUCUUCGUCAUUCUGUGUACACAUCCCUGGUAUCUCUGAGUUACAAGGACACUGGCUAUACGAUGUCCGGAAGUGGUGGGUUCUUGGUCUCACUGACUUCAAAAAUGAAGACGAAGACGUGGACUCUGGCGGUGAGUGUUACAGUUCUUAAAGGCGGUGUGUCCGGAGUUCAUUCCUUAUAAUGUUGGGAGUUUCUUCCUUAUGGUGGGUUUGUGGUCUCGCUGGCUCCGGAGUGAAGCUGCAGACCUUCGCGGUGAGUGUUACAGCUCUUAAGGCGGCACGUCUGGAGUUGCUGGAUCCUCCCGGUGCGUUUGUGGUCUCGCUGACUUCAGGACUGAAGCUGCAAACCUUUGCCGUGAGUGUUACAGCUUAUAAAAGCAAUGUGGACCCACAGAGAGAACAGCAGCAAGAUUUAUUGGAAAGAGAUAAAGAAUAAGGCUUCCACACUGUGGGAGGGGACCGGA